RNA transcript from Dendrobium catenatum, 4507 nucleotides. It is a transcript of the gene named protein PHYTOCHROME-DEPENDENT LATE-FLOWERING, with no coding region annotated. The record is from RefSeq and is a predicted model, not a curated record. The transcript is spliced from 15 exons. Lineage: Eukaryota; Viridiplantae; Streptophyta; Magnoliopsida; Asparagales; Orchidaceae.
CUUGCUGUGCGGUAGGCUUUUAGGGUUUGUUUUUCUUCUUUUUGCUGUUCGUACAACGUACCUGUUCGACUUCGCCUGCUUCGCGCGUGAGGUAAAGUUUCGAACGAGUCGAUAAAAUACCUGUUCGCCUACUUCGACGACUUUACUUCCUGUCGGGUCGGAAUUCACUACAGCUCGCCGUUCUUUUGUUGGGUCGGAAGUACCGACGACGACGGGAGGGAGCUCACUCGUUGCGAAGGGAUUUCACGCGCUGAUCGAAGGAGGCAUAAUGGGAGUCUCCUUCAAGGUAUCUAAGAUCGGAAAGAGGUACGUGCCAAAACCGAUUGCCGAGCAGGUGGAGUGCUCUCCCAGUGAGAACCCUCAUGCCAUCAACGGACCUGCUUCAAAGAAAAAAGCAGAUAUUACAGAAGCUGCAAAUGACCUUGUUGGUUCUAAGGCAUCAGAAUUGUCAGAGCAUGACGUGUCUUUCACAUUGAACCUUUUACCAAAUGGAUACUUUGUCGGGAAGCCAUCAGAGGUGGGAAAUUUUCAGCCUUUGCUGCAAGAUGUGAAGUCUCUGCAUCCAUAUGACAGGGCUUCUAAACCCCUUUUUUCUGCAAUUGAGACAGGAUGGCUUCCAGGAGAUAUUCUUGAUGAUGUACCUUGCAAAUAUAUCAAUGGUUCUGUCAUCUGCGAGGUGCGCGAUUAUAGAAAGUGUACACUAGAACAAGGGACUAUUGCUCCUAUUGAUGCUGUUCCUGUUGUAAACAGAAUCCGUCUUCGGAUGUCUCUAGAAAAUGUUGUUAAGGAUAUUCCUUUAAUAGCGGAUGAUUCAUGGACUUACAGUGAUCUUAUGGAAGUUGAGUCCCGAAUAUUGAAAGCCUUGCAGCCAAAACUUGACUUAUCCCCUACUCCUAUGUUGGACAGGCUUUGUGCUGACCCUACAAUUAUUAAGCUUAAUGUUGAUGUGGGAAGGAAAAAAAGGUUGCGACCAGCUACCGAAGUCACGAUCACCUCCAAUAAUCAACCUCAUGGGAAAAAGAUUUGCAUUGAUGGAGCACCUGAAAUUGCUAACAGUGAAGGAGAUUCAGGAACUGUGUUAAGCAAUUUAGCUAUGCAACAAGCUCAUGAGAAUGCAACCACUCAGCCUGGGGUUAUUUCAUCUUCACGGUCAAACAAUCCUUUUCAUGAAGCCGCUAGGCCAACUUUAACUGUUCCAGGUCAUACAAAGUUUCAAUCUGCUGUCAACCAGGCUGGAGUGAUUCAGGAUCAUGGCUUAUCUCCUGCAAAUUAUGGGGUCAGUGCCAGCAUUUCGUUGCCUCAGAAUAUGGUUGGCUCGUACACAGAUACUGCUAAUGCUAAUUUUUCUCUGCCUGGACGAAGGGAGACUCAAAGUUCCCAGUCAACAUCAAUGCCAGGUUUAAAGAGACCAAGGCAGAAUGCUGCAGGUCUCGAUGGUAUUUCAACACAGCAGGUAGCUGCUCCGCUAGGUGGCUUUAGUGGGCAAGAUAUGCAGUGGAAGAACCAGACUGUGCAUCCACAGAUUGAUGCCAAGGGGUUUCAGUACUCCAAUGUUGGGGUCCCAAGGUUUUCUCAGAUGAAUCAAGAGGCAGUGACAUCUAUUUAUUUUAACCAGCAGGUGAUGAGAUAUGGGCCUAAGGAGGAGCAGAUUGACUCGGAUAAGUUGGAUAAGCAAGAUCUUGAGAGAUCGAAGGAUUCUCUACAGGCGAUGACCACUGACAAUUCAUUGGAUCAGCACCAAUUACGUGCACAGCAUCAAGCACAUCAGUCAUCUAUGAGGAGCCAUCUUCCACCUCUUACACAGUGGAAUAACCCACGGUUGCCAGUUGAGAAGGAUAUGAGAAAGGAAGAUGUGCUUCAAAAACGGAAGACAUUACCCAGUCCACGUGUUUCUUCUGGACCAUUGGUUCAAUCUCCUAUGUCAUCAAAAUCUGGAGAGAUAUCCAGUGGCUCGGUAGGUGGUCAAUACAGCGCAAUGGCUGCAACUUCUGCACAGACUUCACAGUUGGACAAAGUACCUACAAACUCAAAUAAUGCGGUUGGAGCCCCUUCUGUUGUUUCUAGUCCCAGUGAUUCAGUACACAGACAACCCCAAGUUUCUGCUCCUCUAAAACGGAAAGCAAAUUCUGUCCCCAAAACACAAGUCAUGAGUGGGGUUGGAUCUCCUGCAAGUGUGAGUAAUUUUAAUACUCCAUUGAAUGCUAGUAGCCCGUCAAUAGGAACAUCGUCUAUGGUUGAUCAAGUGCUAAUGGAAAGGUUUGCGAAGAUUGAAAUGGCAACCCAAAGAUACCAAAAAAAUGCCAGAAAAAACAAAGUUGAAAAUUAUCCCGCAAGGAAGCCUCGAGCAUAUUCAAAUCAGCAAGUGGAGGUUUCCCUGUCAAAUUCAUUGAACUCUGAGGAUUUCACAGAUCCAACAGAUACUCUUUCAAGGUCUAUUCGAGGUGGAAACAUUAAUACUUGCAAGACAAGACUAGUAACUUUCAUCCGAGCAGAGCGUCUUUAUCCAGUAGUUCCUGGGAGGACUACAAGCCGAUUGAUCAUGAGUGAGAAGCCCUUUGAUGGCACAGUGGCUAUGCAGUAUGGUGACUCAGAUGAUUCUGAUCUUCCUAGUCCUGUAGAUUGCUGGCAAACAUUGCCCACCACACACUUUGCUGAUCUUCUUGCGGCACAGUUUUGUGCAUUGAUGGACCGUGAUGGGCAUCAUAAAGCUGAUGAUCAAUUAUUUCAAGCUCGAACCUCUCCAGUUCGCAUGGGUGUCGCAUCUGGAGGUCAAUCUAUAGUUCCAGGAUUGUCAACUGAGAAUCUGCCAUCUGAGGGAAAACAUGCAGAUUCGGUUCCUGCUUCAUUGCCUGCUGCUGUAGCUCCUAAUAAUGGUGGGAUGGGCCCCAUGAACUCGCAUAAUCUUUCCAGCAAUGCUGGAAUGAUGGCUUCCGGAAGCGGUGCCCAAAGCUUACCCAUUUCACAGGGCUAUUUGUCGGGGACAGGAAUCCCUGCCAGAAACCAACAGCUUGAGCAGCAACAGCUUCAGCAGCAGCAUCUUCAGCAGCUGCAAAACCCACAAUCCCAGUUGCAGCAACAGCAGCAGCUUCCCCUCCCUCACAUCCAGAGAUCUUCUCAAGUUCUCUCAAACAAUCCUCUCUCCCAUUUAAUUGGGCAGAGCUCAAACAUUCAAAUGGGUUCUAAUUCUAUCGGGAACAAUAAGAGCGCUCACAUCCAGCUCCAAAUGCAACAACAACAACAUCAACAGCAGCAGCAGCAACAACAACAGCAUAAUCAGAUCCCGAGGAAAGUGAUGAUGGGACUUGGUGCUGCCAUGGGCAUGGGGAAUAUGGGAAAUAAUAUGGUGGGAAUUCCAGGUCUCGGUAAUGUCAUCGGUAUGGGGGGUGUGCGUGGUCUGUCCUCCCCAAUGGGCUCCUUGCCUGGCUUGGGCACUGUCAACCCCAACCAGAUGCUUCCAACUUCAGCUUCCAAUUUUGGUAAUGGCAUCCGCCCAGCUUCUAUGUCACCUGCCCAAGCCGCUGCAGCAAUUGCGACAAAGUUUAGAAUGGCAGCGCAGCAGAACAGGGGCAUGUAUGGUCCCCAACCUGGGAUUGCUAACUUGACAGGGUACAACAAUCAGAUGCUUCCCACCUCAGCUGGCUUGUCUAUGCUAAGUCAUGCGCUGAACCGAACUAACAUGAACACUUUGCAGCCCAAUGCCACGAUGGCAUCUAUGGGACCACCCAAGAUUUCAGGACCAAACUUCUAUCUGAACACGCAGCAAUUGCAGCUACAGCAACAGCGUUUUCAACAACAGCAGCAGCAGCAGCAGCAACAGCAGUUGCAACAACAGCAGAUGCAACAGCACUCGCCACAAAUGCAACAGCAGCAGAUAAGCUCUCCCCUUCAGCAAUCACAGGUUACUUCCCCAUCAGUGGCUGGUUCUCCUUCACCUUUGGUUAUGCAACAGCAACAGCAACAGCAACAGCAACAGCAACAGAUAAGUCCCCAACAGAUGGGUCAGCAGACUCCGAUGAGUCCACAGCAGUAUAACUCUGCUGCCCUGCAGAUUAAUAAUGCUAGUUUAGGGGCUGCACCACCUGCUAGCCCGCAAUUGAGCUCACAGACACACGGGUCCAUUGGUAGCAUCACUAGCUCUCCCAUGGAGCAGCUACAAGGUGCAAAUAAGGGAGGAAGCUCCAACAUUUGAGCCUGAAAUUUACAUCCAUUGUUAUGAAGGGUCCCAAGAAGCUGAGUGCUACUUGUUUGGUUGACAUCGGUAAACCAUUGUAGCAUUUAAAGUCUUAUAAACACAAAAAUAUCAAGACUAGGAAAAAGACGGGCUAUAUCUGAUGAGCUAAUCAUCUCCGUGCUUAGCACGUUUUAUAUUCCUGAAUGAUAGCAACAGUAGCAGAGGAAAAAGCCCCAUGAAGCCAAGAAACAAGCUUGGAGCCCUGGCUGCAUCUGCCGUGUAGAAAUAAUAGUAGGGGUAUGAGAGACCUCCUCGAUCCUGUCCUCCAGCUGGUGA